Equus caballus (horse) is the source of this 12418-nucleotide non-coding RNA. The record is from RefSeq and is a predicted model, not a curated record. Lineage: Eukaryota; Metazoa; Chordata; Mammalia; Perissodactyla; Equidae.
UAUUAGCUCAGCGCAAACCUUCCUCAUUAAUUAAAAAAAAAAGUAGUGGUUCCCAAAUUUUGCUGUACAUUUCAAUUACCUGGGGAUCUGUAAAAAUUACUGAUGUGUGACUCCUACAACAUUGUGAGUUCAUUGGUAUGGAGUGCUACUAGGGCAUCAGGAGCUUUCAAACCUCCUUAAGCCAUUCUAAUUGCAACAAAGUUUGGCAAUCACCAGGUUAAAGUGUAAGAAAGCUUUCACGAUCUCAUUGCAUAUGUGUAUAGCCUCUGCUGCUGCCCUCCACUAGAAAUCCAAGAUUGAAGUACCCAGAUGAACCCUCCCAAUAGUCGUCUCUUUAGAGCACAUUACCCUCUGGGACACAUUAGAUCAUAUGACCCUCCCCUUGUCCCCUUCUGACCUCCUCUUCCUGUCCUGCUUUUUUGAAGUUGGCCUUUUUCUCUCCAGCCCCACUGCCAUUAUCCUAGCAGAGAGCCUGGAGCCAAGCUUGCAGGGUUAGGCAAUAAGCCUUUCAAAGGUCCUGUCACCCUAGCUGUGUCUGGAUCCACAGCUUCAGGUUUCAGAUUCCUCUUCAUUUGCACCAUCAAUAUUGAUCAAUUACUCCUAGGAUGCCAAUUCUCCCAACUGCACUACUGGUUCCUGAACUUCAUCAUCCUAAACUUCAUCCUAAAGUUCAGGUGGCAAAGGGGAAAAUUACAAAAAGAUGUGGCAUGGAAUCUUAGUUCCACAUGUUCCUCCAUCAGCUCUUGGGCACUAUUUCUACAGGUCAAAACCCUAUGUCGCUUUAUGAACCACAAGUGCCAAGUCUCUUCAUGAAAUCUUUCCCAAUCUCUCAAUCAGAUGUGAUUUCUCCUCACUUUGAGCCCCCAUGAAACUUGACCAAUCCAGCUGCAGCAUAAUCUGGUUCAAGGGUAUUAUAUUCAAGAAUUCUUGGAUUACAUUCCACGCACAUUCCCUACUAACACUGUGACUUUCUGUGAGUUGCUUAGCCUUCCUGAAGCAAAGUUCCCUUAUUUAUAAAUUUUUCUUUGAAGGGAAGAUCAAUAUAAUGUAUGUAAAGUAUCUAACUCAGUGUCUGAUACAUAUUAGACAUGUAAUAAACAGUAGCUAUUAUUUUACUCUUUUUAUGGGCCAAAUCACAUUUUGCCUUACACUAAAGUUUUUUAAAGACUUCUUUGAGUACAGUUUUUCUAUGAUGGAUACCAUUAAGAUGUGACUGCAGUUUAUUUAUUUUUUAAUAAUCUGCAGUAAAGAUGUACGCAUUUGAGGCAUAUAUUCAUAAAUCUCUUUAUUUAAAGAAAUAUUUAAGAAUGACCUCAUAUUUAUUUUGACUCAUAUAUCAGUAACAUUUUUCUAGAUCGUGAGCAAGGUGGUAUAUGUACGAACUCCACAUAGACGACAUCCAAAACAUCCUUGAAUAAUUUAAGGUAUGUGCGGUAGGAUGACGCUUAUUCUAUGCAGACUGCUGGCAGAGAGGAAAGGAUUAAAACCAAGCUGGGUGAUGGAAAUGAUUUUCCUACAGGGAGCUGUCCCCCCAUUCAGCUGUCAUACCAGCUGCCACUGGCUCUGUCCUUGCAGCCUCUCAGUGAAACACAGCCUGGGUGUGCAUGGAUAAAAAAAGAGAACCCAGAAAGGAACAGUGGGGUUUAUGCUCUAUUCUCCAAAUACACUAAUUCAUCACUCUCUCAUUAUCUGAAAGUCAGGGAGCUAACAAUGUAACAAACUCCUUGUUCAUAGAUUUAAAAUGUACCUGUGUAAUAUAACUUUGCCAAAAGGGACCUCCACAUUGAUCCAUAGACAAGGGCUUUCCCCACAGUUUCCAUACUGGAAAAUAAAUGACUCAAUGUACUUAAAAAUUUAAGAAAAAAUUGUUUUAGAAGAGAUCUUAGUUGGAAAAUGUGUGAAAAGGUAUUUAUGAAAUUCAAUAUUGUGGGGCUCUAGUCUACAGAACUAACAAAAUUGAUCAGUUCCAAUGUGAUUUACUUUCUACUAACAGUCUCUUACCCGUUUCUUGCACAAUUUCUGUUUUCCAGGAAGAUAACUAUCUAUCAUCUUUGCUUUGUGAAGAGUGACAUUUAAAUUUGAUUCUAGUCAAUAAUUUAAGAUCUUGCAUUUUUAUAUGCUGAGUAACUUUGUCUGGUCAAGUAAGGAUUCAGCUCUAGGUACAAUACAAGCAACCCAGAGCAAAUACAUUUGUCAAUACAUCUACUAUAUAUUUUUCUAUUCACCCAAUUCAGGUAAUAUAUAAAUAAUAAAAAGAGAAUAGGUGUAAUGGUAUCCUGAUUACAAUGCUAUAAUCCAGAAAUGUCUACCUAGAAUUCUGAAUUAUUUGUGCCAAAAUUGCUAAUGCAUACACAACAUAGUAUACAUACAAAAAUCUGUACUUUAAAGAGUUUCAACUUUUAUUGAAAAUGUAAAAGAAUAACCAAAAUACUAGGAAAACCUUUGAUGGAGUGUCUGGGUAUUCCAAAAACAGUACCUCAUCUGUAUGAGUAAUCUUAAUAAGCCUCUAGAAAAACGCAGUGAAAACUAGUAUAAUGAAUGAGUCAAGUUGCACACAUUGGAAUGAAAAGACAAAGUUUAGAAUUUAAGAGUUCUUUUCAACCUUAUUCUGUAAAAUUUAAAAUUGUAUCUAAAAAUAGUUUGACGGGCAUAAAUAUUUGUUCUAGCCAAUUCAAUAUAAAUACACAUUUUAAUUUUAAAUCUGCUAUCAUUGGCAUGUGUUUGACUACGUGUGGACCUUUACAAACUUUGUUAAAAUGACUUUUAAAAAAAUCAUAAUCCCGUUUAACACUUCCAAAGGUACAUUAUCAUACGCCUUCACGGCAGUGAGAAAUCUGAGGAAAAACCCUUGAACUCUACAACGGGCAGUGGAGCUGUUCCCCUCUUACCAGCCGCCUCAUUUCUUCAGCGAAGCCCAACUACAAACUUCCUUUGCUUGACUCUUAACACUGAGCUAAGAGUCUAUAUAUACUCAGGCCUCCAGUUCGGGGAAGCCCUUCGCGGCCAAUCAGGGCUUCCCGAUCUAUUGCGUCACACCUCCCCCCUGGGUGUGACGUCAAAGGCAAUCCCAGGCCAGCCACGUGGGUUGGAGGAGCGUUUCUGGGCAGCUGUUCCAGAGACACCCGGCAGCAACGGUCCCGCAAGGGUGGGGAACUGGGCAGGGAGGGGCAGACAGGGCUCCUACGCGCACCUUCUGGGAACACAACUGUGGCAGCUCGCUCGCCCCGGAGGCGCGCAGGGUCGUCCCCCCUCCCCGGAUACCGGAAAGUCUCUUCUCUUUUUCGUAUCAAAAAAAGCCCGGUGAAGACUCUGCAGAACCCAGGAAGCGCAGAAUCGGGAGAAAGUCUUUGGCUGGGGCUGGUUCAAGACCCUGCUUCAAUGGGCUGCUGGAAGCCAGGACUGGGUAAUUCUUUCCAGACGUCUUGACUUCUCCUUGCUCGCUGUUGUUGCCUUUCUGCCUCCUCCAACUUAAGGGGGUCUUAACAAGUGAGCUGGGUUCCUCUGAGGUUGGACUUCUUUCGCGCUCGAUAGGCCUUGAAAACUGGGUUCCUGCUCCUUAUUACAUAUCUGGGACAAUAAUGAACAGGUCAAAACAGAAAAGUCGAGUAAACUGGGAGCGAUGCUUUUCAACACGUCGCGCAGGGUGUAGUGUUGGGGGAUGUGAUUUGAGGGCAAGAAUUUUAUUGCAAUACUAGGUAGUCAGCCAGCCCGGUCCCCGGGGGCCGACCUGCAAAGUACUACGCGUUUCCGCCCCCCGACCCCCCCACAGCGGUUACACCUCUGGGAAGCAUUACCUUGCCUGAUGACUUCACACUGCUCGGGGAAACCCACUUACUAAUUCUCCCCUACAAACCUUCAGGGCUUCAGCCUUUGUUUGAACCCUGCCUUAGGUGGUUCAACUCUUGAGAAACUGGCUUAAGUUUCAGAGCACAAUUUCAUCCACUUAAUCAGACUCCUGCUUCUUGAUUUUUAGUUGUACGGUAGUUUUUAAAUGCUAACCUGUAAUUUAAAAUAUAUUGUCUAACUGAUGUACUCUUACAUAUAAUGUGGAUUAAACUGAUUUAGGGGGAGGGUGGACAUCAUGGAGUGUCAAGUGUCUGGCUGUGGGACCCCACAGGGGCACUUAACAUCCACUCUAAACUUCCAUGAAUAUUAUAUGUAAUGCAGGCUUGCUGAUUAUUGCUUAGUAGUGCUUAACUGUUCCUGUGCUAAUGGUUCAAGCAGUGAAAACAUUUAGUAAAACUGUGUUUCUUUAUUAAUCAAAAACACAUUUGUUGUUUGUUCCCUUGAACUUGUAAUUCAUGGCCCAUAAAGCAAAAGCAAAAUAUUUCCUCACUGCGGAUGAAUGUAAAAGCUAAUUACAUAUCCGUGCAUUUCUGUCAGUUUCUCCCCCAUCCCCCAAGAGAAUGGGAAAGAGGCUAGAGGUGAAAGUUUACAUUUAAAUUCAGGGGUGAAGCAGAAUACUGUAUCAAUCAGAUUUUCUUAGGCAGGGCAUCCAGAAUAAGAGAUUGAAUAAAUUCAAAUCCCACCUUUGAUGAGGGAUUGUUUGUGUGUUCCUGGAAGCAUAUUUUACCUCUCUAGACCUUUAUUUCCUAGUUGAUAAAUGGAGAAAAUACCUGCUUUACAAAGUUGUUAUGAUGAUAGAACGUGUGAAACUAUGUUAGGAGAUUAGUAGAGUGCCUAAGCUCUACUCUUAGGUAGAGCUUCCUAAUGUAACUUAGCGUUUCCUAAUUUAACCAUUGUCGCUAUUCAAAAACAUUAGUACCCUUCUCCUGGUUUUCUAUUUGUUAUAUUAUUCUUGAUAGGCAUUAACUGGAGUUUCAUCCUGGGCUCAUUUGUUUGACCUACUUCAGCUUCCUACUGUCCCCUCACUGUCUCUCAUAGAUUGAAUUAUUCUAUGUGCCCAUGAAUACACCCCAAACCUUUACGUUUAACCAAAAUUCCUUUCUGGAUUCCAGGCCUGAAUUACGGCUACUAGCCAUCUAGUAUUGAUUAAUAAGCAUCAUAUUUGGAGACGGGAGAUUCAGUUUCACCAACAAGCUAUAGCUUGUUUCAACCAAUUGAAUAACAUACGAUUGUCAAUUUCAAUUUUACCUUUCUAUUUUAAACAUAAGCUGUUUGGAUCAGAAGAUGACAGAUGUUUCAGGUUUUGACAUCCUAAGACAUACUUCUCCAACCUACGCUUGUUAUGGUUUCAACUAUCCAAGACAACAUAGCGAAGAACUUCAGAGGUAGGAGCUUGACCUGAGUCAACGUGAGUCUGCAGCAUGCUCUUGCUAACCUCCUUCCCACAACACAGAACAAGUGUUCACCUGUCUGAGAGACCAAGUUUCCAGAAGAAGGAUUCAGUACCUUCAUACUUCUCUGUGUAAAUGGUUCUCAAACUUUUUGGUGUGAAGUCCCUCUAUACGCUCUUAAAAAUUGUUGAGGACUUCAAAAAACGUGUUUAUAUGGGUUAUAUCUAUCAAUAGACCAUAUUAGAAAUAAAAGCUGACCAAAAAAGUUUUAGAAUAUUUAUUAAUUAAUUUAAAAUAAUAAUAAACGCAAGGACUUGUCACCAUUUUUGUGAAAUGUGGCAUUGUUUUCCAUUUUUGCAAAUCUCCACUAUCUGGCUUAAUAUAAGACAGUUGGAUUCUCAUAGCUGCUUCAUCAUUCUAUUGUUUUGAUUGAAGUAUAUAAAGAAAAUCUGGCUUCAAACAGAUACAUAAUUGGGAAAUAGAGAAGUAUUUUAAUAGUCUUUUUAGAUAGUCUUCUGUGAUACUAUGUCAAAACUUGACAAAUAAUAGUUUUUUUAAACUUAAGUUGUAAUGGUGGAUCUAAAACAAUAGGAAUGAGCUUUUUGUACUCUGUUACUUAAAAUCUCUUUAUCUUAUACUUUAAAUGCAUCUUUUACAACCAUUCAUGCAUUUUAAUGUCCUGUAUCAUUUGUAUUGAUUACUAAGUUAGGCAGAUUUUCCGAAUGUUGAUAUAUUUCAUUAAAAAAACUCACAAUCAUUAAAAUCACCACCAGUCUCAUCCAAAGAGUCUUCAAAUAUUGAGAAGCUGUCACGGUCAUGGUGGCAAAUAAAGUUUUCCAAAAUUCUAAUUUUCUCUUGAAAGCUCAGAUAUUUCCAGUAGCAGCAAAUACUGUCAGUUGCUUUCACUGUAGCCACAAGUUCACUUCACUCAUAUUUCAAAAAAAUGAAAUGUCUUCCAAAUACCCAAGUCUGAUUAAUAGUAGUUUGUCAGUUGUUCUUUGAAGUAAAAAUGAUAUCCCAUGAUAAAAGUGGCCAGCUCAGCUCAGAACUCAGUCAUGUGAAAGCUCUUCUUCCAGUCAACCAUGUAGUUUCUUGUACAGCAAGCUGUGUACUUUUCAUUUCUUCACAGAAAAUAUUAGAAAGACGUGUUCUCAAGGGUUGACACAAUGAAAUUAAUCAUUUUUACUGCUUUAUCAAAGAUUUUCUUAAAUGAAAUUUGCUUUUUAUUUCCCUGUGAGUGCAUGGGGUAAAGAAUACAAAGACUGAUGGUACUUACUUACGGUACUUAUACAAAGUUUGAUGCCACUACCUGUUUCAUGCUAAGGUACUAGCAGCUUUAUUCACCAUUACUUUUGCACCAUCAGUGUAAAUGUCCACAAACUAAAAAAUGCAGAUGAUUUCUAGAAUUAUUAUAAAAAUAGUGUUGAUCUUACUAAUCCCUUGAAAGGGUCUUGGGGUCCCCAACGGUCUACAGACCGACCACACUUUGGAAAGAAUAGGGUUAUAUUAAGCAUACCAAAAGUAGCAGUACAAAUCUGAGGGUUUUACUUUAAGAAGAACAUCCACAAACUAUUGCACAUUGAGAAGAGAUCUAGCAGUGAGAAGAGGAAAGGCAAUAGUAAUCCUGUCAUAUGACUAUGACUAUAGGAAAUAGAAAUGCUUAGGAUGACAGGAGAUUCAGAGAACCUGACAGACACUGGAAAACUUCUAUAGGGCUUGCAUAUACAUGUGUUAAUUCAAGGCUGACCUCUUCAGGCUUGAGGAUUAAUUCAGACAAAAUUUUGAAGAGGGUAUGGCUAUGUUUAUCACUAAAUUUGAAGAUGUGGCUAGAGGGAGAUAUUGAAGCAUCUGUCAGACACCCAGGAAAUUAGAAGGAACAGAUUGGAAGAGAUUAAAAUACUUACUGAUUCAUUGAUACAGGUAGAAGCGGAUAAUUUUAUUUCUCAUAGUUUUCGAAGAUCUCGCUAUAUUAGGUAGAGGAGUAAUUUAUCAAUUGUUGAUCAUUUCAAAUUAGAUUCUGAAUAUUAUUAGAGCUACGCUUUAAGGAUUGCCCAAAUGAAAGGAAAGGGACAAAAAUCUCUUUCCUCAUCAGAUACUCCCUUGAUAAUCAUAUUCCAACAUCCCCUUCCAUAGCUCAGGACACUAGCUUUAAAAUAUUAUACGACUUAGUCUAAAUCCUCAAAGGUGGAUAAUCAAAAGUACCUGAGAUUAAUGAUUGUGAUUUGAUUGACAACAAAAUACCCCUAUACAACCAUCUGGAUGAUUUUUUUUUUAAGAAAAACUUUUAUUUUGGAAUUUUACCUUAAAUUUGAAGAUAUGGGGGCUUUACAUUCAUAUUCGUGGACUAUUUAAAUUUCCUGGACUAUUUAAAUAUAAACUUAUAUAUGUUUCAGAUUGGAGGAGGAGAAGUUAUUUUACAUAGCCUAACUAACAUCAUUUGCAUCUUUCUGACCCAGAUAACAGAAAAGGACACAACUAUUUAUCCUUGGUUUAAAUGCCAAAAAUUUCUGUCAACAGGGUUUAUAUUUUACAGGACAAAUCAAUAAAAGCAGAAGGUGCUUCUUAGGGGGAAGUCUGUAAUCUAAUUGUCCUUUGAUAUUUUAAUAGUCUCAAUUGUGUGACUAAAGAGAAGAUUUUGAAAUGUAUUCGUUUGUCCACAAGCAAUUGCUAAAUAGUCUUAAUUGUGGAAAUAGAUUAAGUAACUGCAUUGUUUAAAUCUUCUUCCUUGGACAUUAUGUGGCAUUUCACAUUAUUCCUGAAAAGCUUAGCAAGAUUUCAAACUUUUUCAAAUCAUAAAAAAGAUAUGCUUAAUUUCUGGAAACAAAUUUAUUUUUUAUUAGAGGGAGUAGUUGUUAAAGUUUUCUAGGUAGAGGGACUCUUUUUUAAUAAUUUGAAAAGAAAAGUGACUCUGUUCCCGGAAGAGUGAAUAUAUGCUCAAACAUUUCCAUACAAUUUCGGGGGUUCACAGAUUCCUUGCCUCAAAACGUGUUCAUGGACAGAUGAAAAAUUCCCUUGUCCAAGAGAAGUAUUGUUCAGUCUUUGGGAAUACUAUGAAACCCUAAAUCUUCCUAAUGCAUGAGAAACCACAUCAUAUAGCUAAAUGUGUAAAAGGAAGACAAAGGGAGGGAAAAACCCUAAGCAAACUUUUUAUUUUCUCUAACGAGUCACAUUAAUUUUUUUAAUGCAUCAAUUUGGGGAAGAGGAAAUCUCAAAUUAAGGCAAUCUUAGACAUUUUGGAGAAAGCUUUCCAAAGGGAAUAGGAAACUGAGAAUACAAGAUUUUUCAAGAAUCCACUACAUUUCCACUUCCUCAGGCAUUGAAACCUGAUUUUAUAUUUUUAGAACAAGAAAAUCCAAAUUCUAUUCCAAGAUUUCAAGUAAGACUGCUUUCAAAUACAGGUGGCUGAAAUCCGUGGGAGGAAAACUUUGAACCAAUUCAGUAAAGUGAGACUUCCUACCUUUAUCCAAGAGAGGUGUUAGCUUCAAGACCCAAUUAGCAGAAUUUCCAUUCCAAUUGCACCUGAGAGCUGGUACUGCCGCUGCCAGUCCGAAAAUGCCAUUAAGAAGUGUGAUUCCGUGCAUUGCAUUAGUCACAUCCUGCCUACCAAGGAUGUCAGGAUAACUGAGGAUGAAAGCAAGCAAGUGCGAUGCUAUUCAAAGGAAUUACAUUUUCCUGAAUUAUAGGAAUGUUCUCGCCCAUAGCGUCUUCUUUCUAGUAUUUUAAAGUUUCAAAGUUCAACUCAGAUCUGUGGGAGUCUGAGAACUUCAUAUGCAAUGGUUCCAUCUAUAUAUUAUACGUAAGCCAAGAACCAGGACGUAUUUUGAGUUUGUUCCUGACUCACCUCUUGCAGAGAACACCUGUUGUUUGUUCACACCGAAUUGGUCAGGCUUCUAAUUAAGCAAUUUGCGAAGUAGCCUCAUUGUUUUGGAAAGCCGAGUGGUUCCAGGAAUCAGAGGUGAAAAGAAAAGACUUCUCAGAGUGUGGACUGAAGGUGGCCUCGGUCACAGUCACCCGGCUACUUUUAGAAAUACAGAUUCUGUGUGUCCAAACCCCAGACCCAUUUCACUAGAAUUUGUAGUGCUGAGUCUGGGAACACACCUGUUUUGAAAGCUUCCUCAGGGAGUUCAUAUGCACUCUGAAUCUUGGGAACUUCUGCUUUGGGGAUGAUGUAGAUGAAGAAAUUGGUUUCCUGGGCUUUUUACACAUAGCUCUUUAAAAUUAGAUUUUUGUCCUUAACUUUACUUGGAUAACAAAAGAGUAAAAACACCUCUUUUGCAAAAUACAGCUGAAUUGUGAAUUCUAAAGAAUUUCUCUGCUUAAUGACAUUAUGUUGGUCUUGAACACGAUGAGGUUUAUAUAAUCAGUAGGCUAUCUACUGCCAUAUUAAUCCAGUGUUUUCUACCACAAGUGGGGCAGUAUCAAGCAUAGAAAUGAGGGCUCUGGACUGGAACUGUUACCCAGUCCUAAGGUGACAACUGACUGCAAGUGGGUCCUUUUGCCUGGAGCUGGUCGCGCCGAUAGAAGGGACCGGGUUGGGAGCAGAGCAGAAACGGUAUUCAUUGAUCAAGGAAUGGAGGAGGCAGGGCUGGUGCUCUAAAACACCUUCUCCGCAGAAGGAAGUGAGCAGUGUUCUUAUGGGAUGUGAAGGGGGAGGGGUCUCCGCAUCAUCACUUGGAGUGAGGGCAUUAGGAGCAUCUUCCUUUCUUCCACACAGCACCUUUUGUACACAUUUCCUUUUGGAAAUCACCAUCGCCAUCUUGGACCUUUCUGGUUUGGACCGGUUCUGCGGUUAGGCCAUCUGGCGUUGCUCCACCUUGGUUCCUAUAAGCAAGUACAACUUGAAAACAAAGCAUCAGACAUGGAAAAUGUGUUAGGGACUUCCCUGGAUGACAGAACAACCUAUUUCGGACACUCACGCACAUACUAUCUGUGUGGUCUUGGGCAAAUUGCUUAAUCAUUCUAAGACUCAGUUUCUCUCUAUGUAAAAUGGGAAUAGUAGUAAAACUUUACCUUUAAAGUUCAAGUGGGAAGUACAUGAAAUUAUCCAUCGAAAGCUCUGAUUAGUGUGCAGUAAAUGUUAACCAUAAUUAUUGGUGUUGAAAACACUGUUAGAUUGAAAGACAAGUGCCUAAGAACUUCUUCCUCCAUUGCUGUGGAGAUGUUCAAUUUCCCCUGUUCUGGUAGGCUUCCUGCCACUGUAUAUUCUAGAUUAUGCCCAGGAUUCAAAAAUUUAAAAAGCUGUUCAAUCUUGAAGAUUUAAAAGCUACAGAUUUGGGUUUUAAUUCCUAAAGAAAAUCUGUUUGAAGUACUAAUUGAGUACCUGCAGGAAGUAUGUAGUUCAGAAGGAAUUUUCUAUGUGAGUAUUCACCAAGUCUACCUAAAUUAUAAAAAGCCUCAUGUUUACGAAUUAAAAGCCAAAUUUAAAAUACUUCUUUGAAAGAGCUGAGUGUUGUUUUUCUUCCAUAAUGUAUUUACCCAAGGAGGUUGACUUAGAUGGAGCAUCUGUUUUCGGCGUUCUUGCUUUUCACCUAUGAUUCCAGCAGAAUGCUCUAAGGUGCAGAGGGGUCAAGUGACUUGCUCCAGGCCGCACACAAUGAGUGAGUGAUUCAGGCCAGACUGAAUCAAGGAUUUCUAUGCCAGGGCUUCUGGCAAGUCUCUUUGGUAGGAGGGUCCAAAAAUAAAUGGUUAACUGAAAAUAAAUCUUUACGCCUCUGCUUUUAGAGACAAGAGAAGGGAUACAUUUGCUAUUUGUCAUGUCUUAAUUCAAUUUAAAUUUCUAAAUAAAAUAUUUCUAAAUAUAAUAACUCAAACAUAGCUUUUCAAUUCUCUUCCAAAUAACUGAAUUUAUGCUAUUUAACUGACUAUUGAAUUGGAAGUAUAGCAGAAGAGUUUCUCUCUUGGAAAUUUUGGCCAAUUUGGUCUACUCUCCAUCAUCUCUGCUCGUUUCGAGUCAUUGUGUUCACUGUUGCCAAGCAUUCAUUCACCAAAAGUUUAUUGAGCAUCUACUGUGGGCCAUUUACAUUUACAAUCUUGCCAUUAACAUUUGUAGGACUCAGCACAAAGGUACUAAUAGAGGCUCACAUGUCUUAUGUCUAAAUGCCUAAUAUUUGUAAAUAAAGCUGGCAAAGUAUUCAAUAAAAUUAGUUCUUCUUGUCUUGACUAAUAUGCCAUCAUAAAAACUUACAAGCCAGUUUCAAAUUUAGAAUUCUCAAACACCUCAGUGUUGUGUGCCAGAACAGCAGUGCAAGAACAUACAACCAGCCACCUGCCCCCCGGUGCCAGUCUCCUGCCUCUGGUUCUCAGCCCAGCCCUCUUUUUUUCCCACCCCUGGCUCCAUCCUAUAAUGUGAUAUGCCUUGCACACAAGCUUUGAAUAUCUCAGCUUGCACAUCCAAGCUCGUCCACAGUUCCCGAAAUCAGCCUUGACUGUGCCAUUCUUUGGACCCCUGACCUUAUAAGGGUGGAAGCUUAUGCUGGCCCAGGAAAUAGGCUCAGGACUGGAGCCUUUCAUGCCUGGGCCUAAGGAGGUACUGCCCCGCACCAUACUGGGGCAUCCAUAUAAGGCUAAAUUGUUCCCCUGGGCAGUCUGAGUAUAUCCUUCUCCUUUUCUAAAAUAUCACCACUUUCCAUUGUCAACCCAGCAGAGGCCCAACUCCUUAGUCUGAUCUGACCUUAAACUUUCCAACCUGAUAAGCAAAUUUUUCCAUUUACUGCACACUGUGUUAAACAAGUUAGAGCAAAUUUCCGUCUCAGUACCUCUUAGUCCAUUUGUUCUUUCUUCCUAAAAUGCUCUUUUCCCAUCUCUGCCUGCCUCAAUAUUCUUAUUUGUCUCCCCUCUUCUUAUCUCUUAUGAUACUCCAUGCCCAUCUUUCAGUUCAUGCUUAUCUGUUACUAACUUUAUAGUUAUGUUUUAUACACGCCGUCUCUCCUAGUUUUGGCUGUGAGGUCUUUGAAGACUAGUCCUGUGCAGUUCACUUCCUUUCAAUUCUUUGAAAAUGGCUUUAUUGUUCUUUGUAGAAAUCAUGCUUGUUCAUUGUAAAUGAGUAAUACCAUGAAAGAGUGCAAAAAGAAAGUAAAAAUUCAGAAAUGUUGCCAAUUUCUUCAGAUAGACACAUGGAUUGAUGUAUAGAAGUUACACAAAGAGGAAUAUUGAUUUUUUGUAACUUUUAAAAAAUUUUUUAA